GGGGUAAAAUUAAUAAAUUAAUUUUAAUAAAAAAAUUUUUAAUAAAAUAUUUUAAAGGGGGGGUUAAAGUAUAUUUAUAGAAAAAAUAAAUUAAUUUAUAGUUAAAUAGUAUUGUAAAAGAAUUUUGAAAUAAUUGAAAUUAAAUUUUUUUAAAAGUAAUUUUUAUUUAAUGUAUCUUGGGUAUCAGAGUUUAUUAAAAAAAAAUUAUUAAAUAAAAAAUUCUCGAAUUUAAAAGAGAUAAUUAAUUAAUAAAGUUAUUGUAGCAUAAAUAUUUUAAAUAAUUAAUUGGAAAUGAAAUGUUAAUCGUUUUUAAAUAUAUCUAGUUUUUUUAGAAAAAAAUUUAAUUUUAUAUUAUUUAAAAAAAAAAUUAAUUAAUUAAUUUUUUUUUUAAAUAAUAAUAUAUUUUAAGGGAUAAGCUUUAAUUUAAAUUUAUAUAAAUAAAUUGAAAAAUUAAAUUGAAAAUUUUAUAAUUUAUAUUGUUAAAAAAAUUUAAUUUAUUAUAAAUAAUUUCAUUUAAAAUAAAAUUUAAUAAAAUUUUAUAUGGUUUAUAAAAAAAAAAUUUUUAAUAAAAUAAAAUUUGAUAUAAUGAUAAAAUUAGUAUAUAAUAAAAUAUAUAAAUGAAUAAUUUAGUAUAAAUAAUUAAUUAAAAGGAAUUCGGCAAAAAUUUAUAUUCACUUGUUUAUCAAAAACAUGUCUUUUUGAAAAUAAUAUAAAGUCUAAUCUGCCCACUGAUAUAAUAUUAAAGGGCUGCAGUAUAUUGACUGUACAAAGGUAGCAUAAUCAUUAGUCAUUUAAUUGAUGACUUGUAUGAAAGAUUGGAUGAAAUAUAAACUGUCUCUUAAUUAAAUAUAGAAUUUAAUUUUUAAAUUAAAAAGUUUAAAUAAUUUAAAAAGACGAGAAGACCCUAUAGAGUUUUAUAAAUUUAAUGAUUAAGAUUAUUUAUUAAAAAAAAAAAUUAAAAUUAAUAAAUUUAUUUUGUUGGGGUGACAAAAAAAUAUAAAAAACUUUUUUUAAAAUAAAACAUAUAUAAAUGAUUAAAUGAUCCAUUAUUAUUGAUUAUAAGAAAAAAUUACCUUAGGGAUAACAGCGUAAUUUUUUUUUUUAGUUCUUAUAAAAAGAAAAGUUUGCGACCUCGAUGUUGGAUUAAGAUAAAAUUUAAAUGCAGUAGUUUAAAAUUUUUGAUCUGUUCGAUCAUUAAAAUCUUACAUGAUCUGAGUUCAAACCGGUGUAAGCCAGGUUGGUUUCUAUCUUUUAAAAAAUAAAAUAUUUUAGUACGAAAGGAUUAAAUAUUUAAAUUAAAUUUUUUAUUUUGAAUUUUAUUAAAGAUAAUUUAUAAAUUUAUAAUAAAUAAAUUAUAUAUAUAUAUAUAUAUAUAUAUAUUU
Molecule: ribosomal RNA, 1382 nt
Filed under: Athetis lepigone
Lineage: Eukaryota; Metazoa; Arthropoda; Insecta; Lepidoptera; Noctuidae
Description: 16S ribosomal RNA
Source: RNAcentral